Molecule: ribosomal RNA, 446 nt
Filed under: uncultured bacterium
Lineage: Bacteria
Description: bacterial SSU rRNA
Rfam family: Bacterial small subunit ribosomal RNA
Source: RNAcentral
AGCGAACGCUGGCGGCAGGCUUAACACAUGCAAGUCGAGCGCCCGUAGCAAUACGGGAGCGGCAGACGGGUGAGUAACACGUGGGAACGUGCCCUUUGGUUCGGAAUAACUCAGGGAAACUUGAGCUAAUACCGGAUAAGCCCUUACGGGGAAAGAUUUAUUGCCGAAGGAGCGGCCCGCGUCCGAUUAGCUAGUUGGUGAGGUAAUGGCUCACCAAGGCUACGAUCGGUAGCUGGUCUGAGAGGAUGACCAGCCACACUGGGACUGAGACACGGCCCAGACUCCUACGGGAGGCAGCAGUGGGGAAUAUUGGACAAUGGGGGCAACCCUGAUCCAGCCAUGCCGCGUGGAUGAUGAAGGCCUUAGGGUUGUAAAGUCCUUUUAACGGGGAAGAUAAUGACGGUACCCGUAGAAUAAGCCCCGGCUAACUUCGUGCCAGCCGCCGC